This 271-nucleotide long non-coding RNA is filed under the name Medicago truncatula (barrel medic). RNAcentral's name for it is "long non-coding RNA (MTRU_LNC001765)". Lineage: Eukaryota; Viridiplantae; Streptophyta; Magnoliopsida; Fabales; Fabaceae. The record is from RNAcentral.
UUUUUUACCAAAGUAAAUUUAACUAUUAUCAUUAAUCAACUAAUGUUAAAUACAAGAAUGAUAAGAACAAAAAAUACGGUAACUAUCCCAAGAACAGGCCAAGAAGUAUACCAAAUUGAAUUGCAAUCAUCAAAUCAAAUUGAUUCCCUUCACCUUCCACUUAUGGUAUGGUUUGCUUUGCCCUUUCAUGCACCACAUUCUUCGGUGGUACCGGUGGACAAAACCCAAUCUUAAUUAUUAUUAUUUUUGCACAAAGUUGUUUUAAUUAGCU